This 3305-nucleotide long non-coding RNA is filed under the name Sus scrofa (pig). Its description in RNAcentral is "lncRNA (ENSSSCG00050033953.1)". The record is from RNAcentral. Lineage: Eukaryota; Metazoa; Chordata; Mammalia; Artiodactyla; Suidae.
CAUUCUUUCACUGCGGACCAUGCUAAAGCAGGCAGUGGACCCUUUGACCCUUGGCCCCUAUUUUGCUGACCCUCCCUGAGCCAGACACCAGGGAAGGGGCACAGGGAGCUGGCUACUUAUUGACAGCUUCAAUUCAUGCAGACUUUCAGGGCUGCUUUUUACUAUCAAAAACAGAAUCUACUUCUCAAUAAGAGAGAUGAUAUAAAUGAUGUCACUUUUACUGGUAAUUUCAAAGUUUGGGUUUAGUCGUGUAGAAGAUUAGCACUGGUUUUCUUUGUCAUAUUAAAUGUGGAAAAUUGCUAAGGGCUAUGGAAUAAAAGCUUUGAUUGACACAUUGUCAAAAGACUAGAAUACACAGGAAUUGUUUAGAUUAGGUUGUGUGGUUUUGUUUUGUUUUUCUUUUUUUUUUUGUCUUUUUAGGGCCCCACUUGCGGCAUACAGAAAUUCCCAGGCUGGGGGUCAAAUCGGAGCUGCAGCUGCCAGCCUACACCACAGCCACAGCAACUCGGGAUCCGAGCCUCAUCUGCAACCUACACCAUAGCUCACAGCAACGUCAGAUCCUUAACUCACUGAGUGAGGCCAGGGACUGAACUCUCGGAUCCUCAUGGAUCUUAGUUGGUUCAUUAACUGCUGAGCCACGAGCCACGAGCCACGACGGGAGCUCCCUAGAUUUGUUUGAUGUAAAAGCUUCAUUUAAGGGAAAGAACUGCUUUCAAGUUCUUCAGCUUUUGUCAUUUCUGUUUUGGUGCAUUGUGUCCCUGUCGGAUGAUUGGUGCAUCUUAGGGUGGUCAUUCAGAGCUGGAAAGUAGAUUGUCUCUAAUGUUUACCCUUUCUUGGCAUUGCAGUUUCCUAAAAAAUCUGAAAUAAGAGCCAAAUGGUCCUCUCUACAGGUGGAGCCAAAAAAAAAAAAAAAAAAAGGAAAGGAAAAAAAGAAUUGAGAGACGAGAUGAAAAUUAUAAGAGGUUGUAUGAGGAUUAGCUAGUUCACGCAAUUGACUUUUGCUCUGCUGGAAUAAUGACAUAAUUUUGAUGGUUGAACCACACGAGGUAAAACACAUGCCAGUACUUGAGCAAUUUUAUGAUUAUCUCCUUGAGAGGAUGGGGUGAAGUAUGAUUCUCCUCUGUGUAAUAGCAUAAUAAUCUGGCUUGAUUCUUUUUAGAAGUCAUUGAGGUAAGUUGAGUUAGUGUUUAAAUAGUGACCUCGAAGACAUGGACAAUGGCGAAGAGGACUCUGCUCGUCCUGAGACUGUGCUGAGCGCCGUGGCUUCUUAAUCAAAGCAACAGUUAGCUCGGACGACCCCUUUCCCCAAGGUUUUAUUUCAUCUUGCGGUGUACAUGGGAGAGCUUCUGAAGAGGCUGAGUGCCAAGCCAGGUGGUUUAGUUCUGUGGCCCACCUUUUUAAGGAGGGGAAAAGGAGAGUAAAUUUUAGCAAGUUUCCUUUUGCUAAACUUUCUUAUUUAGUAGAGUAGUCCCUACAUACAUUCAUAGGAGGUUUUUGAUUUUGUUUUGUUUUAAAUAGCUCAAUUGUAAGAAAAACUAUUGUAUACCCAAUAAAGGGCAACUGUAUAGAAAUGCUGGCCAUUUCCAUCCUUGGCAGUACCAGGUCUCUGAAGGUGUAGGAAGUAUGAAAUACUCCGAGUGAGAGAGUUGAUGAUUUCUGAACUGAAUUGUGGAAUUUGUUGUUUUAAGAAACUCUUGGACUAGGGGAAGAAACCAAAACAAAUCCCAAAACAUUUCCAGUUCAACCCUCCUGCAACCUGGGAUCUUCUGUAAGGCUUUCAGGGUGGAUCCCAGGCUGUGUUGAGGGGCUUAGGAAUUCAGCAGACCUCUGGCUGCUCCUAGUCAUUGUGAGAAUACGUUGUUUACUGCCUGAGCUAUGACAGCAUAGGGUAGUGGUCUUCAGAGUGGGCUGCUGCUUCUCCAAGGAAUAUGAUGUGCAGAAUGAUCCAUUGGGAUGCAGGGGAAGCACCGCAAGUCCUGUUUUAAAGUUUUAGUAGUGGCUGGAUAUAUAUGUGAUUGUGCAUGUUUUGGGAUGUAUGCUUCUUGUCUACUUUGGGAGCUAGGCAGUUGUAAGAACACCCCUACAGUGGCUUAUGCGGCCUCUCUAACCCCUGACCUUACUAUUAGUCAUCUGCUCCCCUCUUCCCCCCUCCCCAUUCCAGCCCAUGUGGCCUUUUUGCUGAUCCUGAAAGGCUUCUGAACCGUGACCCACAGCAGCCUUUGCCCUGGUGGUUCCCUCUGCCUGUAAUGCCCUUCUCCAGAGGCUCCCCUUGAUGCUCUUGGCUAAUGCCCUCACCUCCUCAAAGGCUUUGCUCAAGAGUCGUUUCUCAGUGAGGCCUUUCUUGACCACCUUUUUAAUGCAGCAGCAUACUCUGAAGCCUCCUUGUAUUGCUCUGCUUUUCCUUUUUCCUUAGCACUCACUGCCUUUGGAGAAACUGUAUUAUAUCUGUUGGCUCUUGUUUCCCCAGCAGAAGUAAGAUCCUUGAGGCCAGGACUCGCCUUCUCCUUUGUUCACAGAUGCGUUCCUGUUGCUUAUUAGAACUGUGCCCGUUCAGUACAUUCUGCUGAAUGAUUAAAGCCUCUGGCGCGUAGUAGGCUCAGUAGGCUUCUUUUAAUGAAUGAAUAAAUUAUUUAGGGAAAUUGGAAAUAUAAAAAUGAAUAAAAUAUGCUCUAUGCCCUGAAGUAGUUCUAUGUAGCUGUGAAGACCAAACAUAAGAAAAUAAUUUUCAACUUGUGAGACCUGUGUGGUAGAAUCGUGAGGGGGCCGAGGGUGGAAUUGAGCCGAUCGUGACUGACUGUCUGUGGGCGGAGAAGGCAGGCAGACUCAGUGCCUCUGAAAGGGGUGAUGCUAAAUGUAAAAGCUUUAAAUACCCGGGAACCCACGCAAACCUAGAGCUUGUUUAUCCAAUGAGUGUGUAGGAUGGACUUUGAAAUGAGGAUUUUUAACAUCGAGAUUACGGUUUUAUUUUUUAUUUGUUUUUAAAGAAUGAGAUGAAUAAUUGUCUGAUCUUAAGAGAUAGAUCUUGCAGAAAUUUUCAAAUGCAUAUUUUUUUCCUGGGCAAACUAUUCACCAGAAAAGAAAGUGCUUUUCUACACACAUUUACCGACCCUUGGUUCCUUUCUCCCUCUUUCAGCCUGUACUUUCCAUGCCUUGGGCAAAAAGUUUGGGUUAUUUUCACCCACCUGAAAUCCCUAAGUAUUUAUUGGUUAAAAACUCAGAGUAGGUACCUAGCACUGUAAAAGAGUAGUAUCUCUUUAUGAAAAUAUGUAGGGGUGGAAAUUGCUUGCUGGAAAUGCAUUGAUCUC